Molecule: unclassified non-coding RNA, 91 nt
Filed under: Pseudomonas protegens
Lineage: Bacteria; Pseudomonadati; Pseudomonadota; Gammaproteobacteria; Pseudomonadales; Pseudomonadaceae
Also listed under: 2 other names
Description: partial regulatory RNA RsmZ
Source: RNAcentral
AAAAAAAGGGGCGGUAUGACCCGCCCACAUUUUUCCCUAGUCCCUGUGUUCCUUUUCAUCGUCCUGAUGAAUCGCUUCCUGCGAUGUCCUG